Long non-coding RNA from Mustela lutreola (European mink), 362 nucleotides. RefSeq lists it as uncharacterized. The record is from RefSeq and is a predicted model, not a curated record. The transcript has 2 exons. NCBI's taxonomy places the organism in Eukaryota, Metazoa, Chordata, Mammalia, Carnivora, Mustelidae.
GGCCCUUCUGGUUGGUGGUAGAACGACCAUUACCUUCUGCAUUAAAAGUGGUUCUGCAGGGUGAAACGGUCGCCAGGAUGCUUCCCACUCAGGGAUGCUGUCACUUCCACUAACAUGACUGAGGACCUUCAUCCUGUGGUGGAAAGUGUCAAGAGCAGUGAAGACAGCACCGAGAGAGGCUGGGGAUGAAGAGAAGAUUAGGACACAGACACACACAGAGGAAAGACUAUGUGAAGACACAUGGUGAAGAUAGCCAUCUACAAGUCAAGGAGAGAAGUCCCGGAAGAAACUAACUCUGAUGCCCCCUUGAUCUCAUACUCUUGGCCUUCAGAUCUGUGAAAAACAAAUUUCUUUUGUUUAAA